UGGGGAAUAUUGCACAAUGGGCGAAAGCCUGAUGCAGCGACGCCGCGUGAGGGAUGAAGGCCUUCGGGUUGUAAACCUCUUUCAGCAGGGAAGAAGCGAAAGUGACGGUACCUGCAGAAGAAGCGCCGGCUAACUACGUGCCAGCAGCCGCGGUAAUACGUAGGGCGCAAGCGUUGUCCGGAAUUAUUGGGCGUAAAGAGCUCGUAGGCGGUUUGUCGCGUCUGGUGUGAAAACCCAAGGCUCAACCUUGGGCUUGCAUCGGGUACGGGCAGACUAGAGUGCGGUAGGGGUGACUGGAAUUCCUGGUGUAGCGGUGGAAUGCGCAGAUAUCAGGAGGAACACCGAUGGCGAAGGCAGGUCACUGGGCCGCAACUGACGCUGAGGAGCGAAAGCAUGGGUAGCGAACAGG
RNAcentral lists this ribosomal RNA (409 nucleotides) under uncultured bacterium. RNAcentral's name for it is "bacterial SSU rRNA". It matches the Rfam family "Bacterial small subunit ribosomal RNA", at positions 355 to 776 of the family's 1533-position model. The record is from RNAcentral.